Poeciliopsis prolifica (blackstripe livebearer) is the source of this 356-nucleotide long non-coding RNA. RefSeq lists it as uncharacterized. The transcript has 3 exons. The record is from RefSeq and is a predicted model, not a curated record. NCBI's taxonomy places the organism in Eukaryota, Metazoa, Chordata, Actinopteri, Cyprinodontiformes, Poeciliidae.
GCCGUUAGCUGUCAAAGCAGAACGAGUACCCGGAUAUAUAACGUUUAAAAUUGACGUCGAAGUUCAACAUUGGAUAACAGAAAGUUAAAGCAGGAGCGAGAGGAUGCUUUUCGCCAACAGAGAGCACAAGCAGAUGUGCCUUUCUUCCUCACAGUCUUCCCCAUGCAGUUCAGCAAAUGAACCUCUUCACCUCAGUCGUCACAGCUGUAGUAAAGAUAUAUCCAAGGGUUUGUGCAGCUGUUGAGACUGGCGAGCAGCAUGAUAAUUGAAAAUAUGGGACCUGCAAGAUAAAAAAGAGGAAACGUGAUGAAAGACUGAUGUCACACUCACAACCUGGGCGUCUUUAUGCACUUGCU